Molecule: RNA transcript, 1347 nt
Organism: Rhodamnia argentea
Lineage: Eukaryota; Viridiplantae; Streptophyta; Magnoliopsida; Myrtales; Myrtaceae
Gene name: gamma carbonic anhydrase 1, mitochondrial
Exons: 6
Source: RefSeq, a predicted model, not a curated record
UCGUGCCAACUGGAAUUAGCUCAGUUCGCUUAGAGAGACCAGCCCUCUCUCUCUCUCGCAGUCGCAGCUGGAAACACCAUUGACACAAACCACCAUCACUUAGCAAUCCUCAAUCGGAGGUAGUGCGAAGAGGAUGGGCACAUUGGGGAAAGCGAUCUAUUCCGUCGGAUUCUGGAUCCGCGAGACCGGCCAAGCCCUCGAUCGCCUCGGUUGCCGAUUGCAGGGGAACUAUUACUUCCAGGAACAAUUAUCUAGGCAUCGGACGCUCAUGAAUAUAUUUGACAAAGCUCCAGUAAUUGACAAAGAUGUAUUUGUGGCCCCAAGCGCAUCUAUCAUUGGUGACGUUCAGGUUGGCAGAGGUUCCUCCAUUUGGUAUGGGUGUGUUUUGAGGGGUGACGUGAACAACAUUAGCAUUGGAUCAGGGACUAAUAUACAAGACAACUGUCUUGUUCAUGUGGCAAAAUCAAACUUAAGUGGCAAAGUAUUGCCAACUAUUAUCGGAGAUAACGUUACUGUAGGUCACAGUGCUGUUUUACAUGGAUGUACUGUGGAGGACGAGGCAUUUGUUGGUAUGGGUGCCUCUCUUCUUGAUGGAGUCUAUGUUGAGAAGCAUGCCAUGGUAGCUGCUGGAGCCCUUGUAAGGCAGAAUACAAGAAUUCCUUGUGGAGAGGUAUGGGCAGGGAAUCCAGCCAAGUUCCUGAGGAAGCUCACGGAAGAAGAGAUGGCUUUCAUAUCAAAGUCAGCUGUAAAUUACUCCAACUUGGCUCAGGUCCAUGCUGCUGAAAAUGCAAAGAGCUUUGAUGAGAUUGAGUUUGAGAAGGUGCUCCGCAAGAAGUUUGCUCACCGUGAUGAGGAGUAUGACUCUAUGCUGGGUGUGGUUCGCGAAACACCUCCAGAGCUUAUCCUUCCAGAUAAUAUUUUGCAAGAUAAAUUGCAGAAGGCAACUUGAUUUACCCAACCGUGCUGAAGUUAGGUAUCUCCAAUUGAAAUUUGAUUUCGGAGGUAUGCUGUCAUCUGAAGAUUAAGCGACUACGCAAUUGAUGUCUAAUAAUAGUUGAGGCUGGAUAAGAAUUCAAAGCACGAUGCCUACCAGGCAUCUGGUCCUGCUCAAUUUUUGUGGUCAAGUGGGCACUCGUUUAACAUUGACUUGGAGUGACUGUUCCUCUGAUUACACAUUCAGGUAUUCCACCAGACAUAGUUUUCUAAAUCUGUAUCAUCCUUGUGCUGGUUUAGUUUCAUUCCUCCAAGACAUCGAAGAGCACCUCCCUAAAAACCGAAGUACUUGUCCCGGUACACUUCUAAAGACCGUGUUAGAAGUGACCGACCCAAUUGACCUAGAUUAAUAAA